Molecule: ribosomal RNA, 371 nt
Filed under: uncultured bacterium
Lineage: Bacteria
Description: bacterial SSU rRNA
Rfam family: Bacterial small subunit ribosomal RNA
Source: RNAcentral
GAAGGGUGCAAGCGUUACUCGGAAUUACUGGGCGUAAAGCGUGCGUAGGUGGUUCGUUAAGUCUGAUGUGAAAGCCCUGGGCUCAACCUGGGAACUGCAUUGGAUACUGGCGAUCUGGAGUGCGGUAGAGGGUAGCGGAAUUCCCGGUGUAGCAGUGAAAUGCGUAGAUAUCGGGAGGAACAUCCGUGGCGAAGGCGGCUACCUGGACCAGCACUGACACUGAGGCACGAAAGCGUGGGGAGCAAACAGGAUUAGAUACCCUGGUAGUCCACGCCCUAAACGAUGCGAACUGGAUGUUGGGUGCAACUUGGCACUCAGUAUCGAAGCUAACGCGUUAAGUUCGCCGCCUGGGAAGUACGGUCGCAAGACUG